RNAcentral lists this ribosomal RNA (513 nucleotides) under uncultured bacterium. RNAcentral's name for it is "bacterial SSU rRNA". It matches the Rfam family "Bacterial small subunit ribosomal RNA", at positions 28 to 526 of the family's 1533-position model. The record is from RNAcentral.
GACGAACGCUGGCGGCGUGCCUAAUACAUGCAAGUGGAGCGACGAACCAGGGCUUGCCCUGGGGCAGAGCCGCGAACGGGUGAGUAACACGUGGGUAACCUGCCCUGAUGAUUGGGACAACCCGAGGAAACUCGGGCUAAUACCAAAUGUGCUCAACGAUCUUAAGGUUGUUGUGGAAAGGUAGCUUCGGCUAACCGCAUCAGGAUGGGCCCGCGGCCCAUUAGCUUGUUGGUGGGGUAAUGGCUUACCAAGGCUUCGAUGGGUAGCUGGUCUGAGAGGACGAUCAGCCACACUGGGACUGAGACACGGCCCAGACUCCUACGGGAGGCAGCAGUAGGGAAUCUUGCGCAAUGCGCGAAAGCGUGACGCAGCAACGCCGCGUGGAGGAAGACGGUCUUCGGAUUGUAAACUCCUUUCAGUUGGGACGAAGCUUUCGCGUUGAAUAGACGUUGGAAGUGACGGUACCUUCAGAAGAAGCCCCGGCUAACUACGUGCCAGCCGCCGCCGUAACAC